Molecule: ribosomal RNA, 497 nt
Filed under: uncultured bacterium
Lineage: Bacteria
Description: partial 16S ribosomal RNA
Rfam family: Bacterial small subunit ribosomal RNA
Source: RNAcentral
GAUGAACGCUGGCGGCGUGCCUAAUACAUGCAAGUCGAGCGAACAGACGAGGAGCUUGCUCCUCUGACGUUAGCGGCGGAAGGGUGAGUAACACGUGGAUAACCUACCUAUAAGACUGGGAUAAAUUCGGGAAACCGGAGCUAAUACCGGAUAAUAUAUUGAACCGCAUGGUUCAAUAGUGAAAGACGGGUUUGCUGUCACUUAUAGAUGGAUCCGCGCCGCAUUAGCUAGUUGGUAAGGUAACGGCUUACCAAGGCAACGAUGCGUAGCCGACCUGAGAGGGUGAUCGGCCACACUGGAACUGAGACACGGUCCAGACUCCUACGGGAGGCAGCAGUAGGGAAUCUUCCGCAAUGGGCGAAAGCUUGACGGAGCAACGCCGCGUGAGUGAUGAAGGUCUUCGGAUCGUAAAACUCUGUUAUUAGGGAAGAACAAAUGUGUAAGUAACUAUGCACGUCUUGACGGUACCUAAUCAGAAAGCCACGGCUAACUACGUG